CCCGCCGCUGCGCGCCGCCGCCCCGCCGCCGCCCCUCCCCGCGGUUCUCCUCCUGAAGACGCGUUUUUCCGAAGGCAGAAAAGGGCAAUCUUUAAAGGCAGCAAGGUGUGACGCUCCAGACUGGCAGCUUGGCAAGACGGAGCCCAUGGAUACCAGCACACGGGAAUCUGGACCGUUCACUCUGACAGCAGUCAGCACUGGGAACAAAAGGAAUGGAGGGGAAAAAAAAAGAGCAAAUGUAUUUUUACAUAUUGUAGGCAUAUGGCCACAAGACCAGCAGAAAUAUAUUUAAUUACCAAUUGCGUACGUUCAGGAGAAAAACAGUGGGAAGGGAGGAAAAAAAACUGUGUACACAGCAAUAUUAUUCUACUUUAACUUUUCACCUCGUUUUUGUUGUUUGUUUUGUUUUGUUUUGUUUUGUUUUUUAGAUGAAGACGAUGGGGACGUUGAUUAGAAUUGCGAAGGGUUAUCUGCUGGAAUCCUACCAAAGUACGCGGGCCUCUCACUGUUGUGGCCUCUCCUGCUGCAGAGCACAGGCUCCGGAUGCGCAGGCUCAGCGGCCAUGGCUCACAGGCCCAGCCGCUCCGCGGCAUGUGGGAUCUUCCCAGACAGGGGCACGAACCCGU
Molecule: long non-coding RNA, 626 nt
Organism: Globicephala melas (long-finned pilot whale)
Lineage: Eukaryota; Metazoa; Chordata; Mammalia; Artiodactyla; Delphinidae
Source: RefSeq, a predicted model, not a curated record